AAGCUAUCUCCUGGGGAAGAAUUUGUCUUGAAAACAAAUCAUAAGUGUUCGAUUCACUUGAUAGCUUU
RNAcentral lists this transfer RNA (68 nucleotides) under Harpago chiragra. Its description in RNAcentral is "tRNA-Ser". It matches the Rfam family "tRNA". From Rfam's summary of the family: Transfer RNA (tRNA) molecules are approximately 80 nucleotides in length. Their secondary structure includes four short double-helical elements and three loops (D, anti-codon, and T loops). Lineage: Eukaryota; Metazoa; Mollusca; Gastropoda; Littorinimorpha; Strombidae. The record is from RNAcentral.